UCGCAAACCCCAGUCGUCGUCCCCGAGGCUCACUGACUACAUUAGGGGACAAAUCUUCCUCUUCCUCCUACUUCUUCACCGAGUCGGUCAGGAUUCAACGAAGGAGGGUGUGCUAGUGACUUGUGCGACUAGCCACGGUGUUGGUUGCCCGUUUUAACUUAAGGUUCGCGAGUAGCCCUAACUGGACCGAAAGGAAGAGAGAAGAAGAAGAAGGAGGAGGAGAAGGAGAAGGAGGAAGAGAAGACAGAGAAGGUGGAGGACGAAAAAAAAAAAAGAUAGAAGAGAGAGAAUGAGAGCGACAAGAGAGAAGAUAAUCGAGAUAGAACUCCAAAGUCUUUGUGUGAUCUAUGGAAUCGAGACGGCUUUUACAUUCGAGAUUAAUCUCCGUAUGUUUUGCCACUCGAAACUGAAUAGCUUCCUAUCCAACACCCCCUCCCUUCACCUCCUGCGCCCACCCUCCCCACCUCCUCCUCCACAACCCCCUUGUUAUUGAAACUUUAUCAAAGGAAUAAUUCGAUUGAUGAAACUAAUGAAUAUCUAUUACGAGUAACUCUCGAGUAAACACAUUUGAGAAUUACAAACUUACUUACACGCAUAAUUUCGUUAUUAUAUGUCAGUAGAAAAGUUUGUUUAUUUAAGAAUAUUAACGAGAACAACGGGUCUGUUAAUAUCAAUACGUAUUCAAGACCACUUGUUCGAAGCAACAACCUGUAGAGGCUGCCAUACCGCACGGUUCACAAGUGCGUGUACGUACAAGAAUGAAUGUAAGAGAGAGAGAGAGAGAGAGAGAGAGAGAGAGAGAGAGAGAGAGAGAGAGAGAGAGAGAGAGAGAGAAAGAGAGAGAGUGAAAAAAGAGUAAGAUCGAGAGAGAGAAAGAGAGAGAAAGAGAGACUCGAAGAGACGAAGGAAUUCAGGGUUACCAUCCCAGCCAAAUAUAGAUCGGAGUGUAUGUGGGAACACGUGUACGCAACCAUAAAUAUCCGCUGUGCGUUUCGUGAACGUCAUAAAAGCAUCCUCUCUCUCUCUCUCUCUCUCGCUCUCUCUCUCUUUCUCUCUUUCUUUCUCUCUUUCUCUCUCUCUCUUUUCUCGCUCUCUUUAAAAAGUAUUCGUUCUCUCAAUACGUACGAUAUUAUUAUGUCAGGGAUUUUAGGGCGCGAACGUUCAAGUUUUUCUAACUAUACCCGAGAAGAUGGCAGAUAUUUUUCCUUUACCUUCAAGGAGAGCUAACUUAAGACGAGGACUAUCGCGAUAAUCCAAACACUCGUAAAAGUAUAUCGAGUUUUAUACCGAACCGGAUAUAGUCCAUUUUACGAUCUGUUUCAUUUACUUUUACGAUCAACCUUCUUAACUAAUACGACCGAAAUAUUCAAAGUUAAUGUUCUCGAUUGAUAAACGAUGCGAAGAAUUUACAAGAGAUUAAACGAACGAGAAGAUGAAGAAGAACAAGAAGAACAAGAAAAAUGAAAAGAAAAAGAAGAAAAGGAACAAGUGGUCAAGGUAAAGAAAAAUAAACAUUAUACUCAAUUCAAUAUGAACGAGAGACUUAAGUUAUUCGAAUGUUUCAUAGAAAGAAAGAGAAAGAGAUAGAGAGAGAGAGAGAUAAAGAAAGAGAGAGAAUAAAAUAAUUUGUCGAUGUAUACCAUAAGAGAUAGAGGAAUACAGUGGAAUACUUGGAAGAAUACUCUCAGACGUACGUAAUAAAGUAUGUUUCUCUCUCUUUCCCUCCCUCACUCUCUCUCUCUCUCUCUCUCUCUCUCUCUCUCUCUCUCUCUCUCUCUCUUGGUUACUUCGAGCUCUCCCGCAGCCGCAAGCACGAUGCCGUUCUGGCACGCCACAUGUCCCUCGACAGAGAGCAAGAAGAAAAAGACGAAGUCUCUGGGCGGAAAAGAAGAAGAAGAAGAAGAAGAAGAAGAAGAAGAGGAAGAAGAAGAAGAAGAAGAAGAAGAAGAAGAGGAAGAAGAAGAAGAGAAGGAGAGAGUCAUCGAGAAGGUUAAUCUGAAAGCAGUGCUUGGUGGGCGGUAGUUGGUCGGGGCCGGUUGUGACGAGGUUUGCAUCAACAAACAGAAGCUUAGUUGUUGCUGCUUAGGAUGACUGAGGAAGGAGGCAUCAAAAAUACCAAGCAACAUAUACAUAGACAGAUCGGCCAAACGUUCUUCUCCUAAACGAGACGAAAGCAGAAUGGACAAGAGGAGGUGAGACGAGGAAGGACAAAACGAAACGAAACGAAACGAAACGAAACGAAACGAGACGAGACGAGACGAUAAAGAAAAGUCGGAAGAAGGACUUUGUGGAAUCUGGUAUCGAAAAAAGUCGAUCUUAUGACGAGGGCCAAAGGAAAAGUCAACUUUCCGCGAUCGCAUUGCUCCAUCCUCAGUCUGAACAAUUAAAUCUGAACAGUAAAGAGCUGUGCUAAUUGUUCCGCGCGUAAUUAGUGACCAACGACCCUUGGCCUCGCAUCUUUCUGCCUUCUCAGGUGUACGGAUGAUGAAGAUGCUUAAGAGAUCAGAAAAAGAUCGUUAAUUCGAAGAUGGUACCCAUCAAGUAUACAUAGUUAAAACAAUUAGUAUCUUUUUGUCACUAAUAAAGAAGAAAGAAGAAAUCAAUUCGAGCAAGGAGCUCGUAAAAAAUAAAAAAUGUAUCAAUGAUAUAUUUACGAUACAAAUUCGAAUUAUAUUCAAACGAUAUCGAAUAUAUAUUUAUCUCUCUAAGUUUUAAAGACAUUUAAGAUAUCUUCUUUCGAAGAUACUUUCUUCCGUAAUCAUCGAUAUUAUCUAUACCCAAGGUAGAAAGAAUUGGAGAAGAAUAAAAUACGAGAGAGUAAAAGGAAUCGAGAAGGAACCACGUGGUAUCUCUCGCGUCACUGUGAGUUUCUUGCUCGUAGAAACAUUGCUUGAGGAAGAAAAGAUAUAAAGGAAGAAAGAGAAGAUGGCGCUGCUGUUUGGAAGAAAUGUUCCCGAAGGGUACCGCGAAAUUUCACGGAAUUUCGUUCGCGAAAUUCCUCGACGAAGGCUCCAAUAAGAGUUUGGGGGGGGGAUCGGCGGGGGGAGGGACCCUUUCCUUGGAUUCAGUCAUCCUCCUCCUCGUUACCGGAGAAUCCACGUAGAAAGGGACUAAGGACGAUCGAUGACGCUAUUGGGAUUCGUUGAGUUUCAUCGAUUCACAAAAAUGAAUUACGAUUUUUUAGUAUCGUAAAAGGGAAAUCUCAAGGAAAUGUAUUCGUUUGAACAGAAAUGACGUUCAUCAAUUUUCUCGAAGAAUUUCUUCAAGAUCAAAAAUUGUGAUUUAUCACGUAAAAAUAAAUGAAAUUAUAGACACAGAUCAAUAUAAAUAUUUCACUAUAAACUAUUAUUAAGACUAUAAUCAAAACGAUUUAAUUAAAGAUUCAUUUCUGAGGCCGAUCCAAAUGCGGCAUUAAAGUCUCCAAAUGGUCCAACUUAAUACAAUACGAGUUGUACGUUGAUACUAAACGUAGAAGAGAACGCAUGAAGGGAAGAAGGAAGGAAGAAAGGAAGGAAGAAAGGAAGAAAGAGAGGAAGGAAGGAAGGAAGGAAUUACUCAGGCAAACGAUGCAGAUGAACGUCGCGCGGCGGCAGCAGCAGCCACGCGAAUCGAUCGAUCGACUUAUUUUUCGGUUCCAGCCUCGCGCCUCUUCCUUUUUACUGUGUAGCUUCGGGUUGUGAGUAUAAAAGCCCCUAUCGGAUGUUUCCAAUUUUCUGUUGGCAAGGUAGAGUUGCUGAGGCUUGCUACGAAGAGAGAGAGAGAGAGAGAGGGACUCCGUAAUACGGGAUUCUCUCUCUAUCUCUCUCUCUCUCUCUCUCUCUCUCUCUCUCUUUUACCAGAGCGUGCGUAAGAGAGAAAAAGAGAGGAAGAAAAGUAGCAAAGACCGACGAGGAAGAUCAGAAAGAGAGAGAGAAAGAGAGAGAGAGAGAGAGAGAGAGAGAGAGAAGAGCGCGUCCAACGCGGACAUUCGUCACACGACAUCAAACGCGGGUGCCGCCCGUUGGAGACUCGACGGACCGACUCUAAAGACUCCGCUCGAUCAGCCAUGAAGAGCACACCGACGAGGAAUUGCAAAAAAAUGGGGAAAAGUGAAGGGAAGAGAACGAGCUGACUUUGUACCAAACGAUAUUGCUUCUUGUCGUUAUUAUCGCCUCUAAUGCUCGACUGUCUUCCAAAGAGACGCAUCUUCCAUUUCUCUCUCUCUCCCUCUCUCUCUCUCACUCUCUCUCUCUCUCUCUCUCAUUCUCUCCUUUUCUCUAUCAAUCCUUUUGAUCAUAUAAUUUUUAUAUAUUCCAUGCAUAAACAUACGCAUCUAUUAUUACUCUUUCAAGGAUAAUAAUAACAUAUUCGUAAGGCAAUUCCAAAGAAAUAUCAAGAUCAAUGAAUUUUAAUGUGCCUUUAGUUAGGUGUUACAAUUAUUUUUAAAAGGAUUGUUUGCUUAUUCGUAAAAAUAAAAAAGAAAGGAACGAAUGAAUAUAUAAUCCUAUUGGCAUCAUUACUAUCCAUAUGGCAGUGAUAAGGAUUAAUUUAAGAAAAAAAAAAAUAUAUAUAUAUAUAUAUACCUGUUCUCUAUCUACGUAGAUAUAUAUAUAUAUAUAUAUAUAUAUUUCUCGAACUAUCGUUGGAACUCGAUAAUUUUGAAAUCGAAAUGUUUCAAGUACAAUUAAAGUUUUCUUUUCAAAUGAAUAAUAUCCAUGUCCUUGUAAAAGAGCAUACGAAAUCGUUAUUCCGGUUAGCGAUAGAAAUAAGAACACCUAUUGCUGGUUAAGCAAGUAAGUAUACCUAUAUGGUUAAACUCGUUAAUCUGUAUCCAUUAACGUAAAAAAAAAAAAAGGAAAAAAAAAGAAAAAAAAAGAAAAAGAAAGAAAAAAGAAAACGAAAAAAAAAAAAAAAAAAGAAUAAAGUAAGGGGGGCGUAGAUGGCAAAGAUAUAUCAAUUUUGUAAGCGUGACCUUGAAUUGCGCGAAGAAUGACGAUGCGAUAUUUAAUAUCUAGCAAGAAGUUCGAUCGGCGAUCCCCUUGCAAGUCAUCCUGGUCAUUGUGUUCCCUGAUAUCCGAUCGGUAGCUCAGGAUCAAGGACAGACAUAGCUCUCGCUGCAGAGAACAGCUUCACGGUGCUUUUACAACUCGGACUUUGUCUCAUCGUUGAAUAGAUGGAUAGAUAUAUGUAGAUACGAGUCAGAAAAUCAUUCUGAUCAUUCGAGAUAAAUAUAAAUAAAUAAAAAAAGUAAAUAAGUAAUAAUACAUAUAUAAAAAAGUAAGAAAGAAGAAAAAAAAGAAGAAGAAGAAGAAGAAAAGAUUUCUAUGCAUUCGAUUCCACGAAUCUUACGAAUUUAUCCUUUAAAAGUCUUUCACGUUUUACGUUUACCCGAGAUAACUACCCAAUGAUCUUUACGAUCUGGCAUUGGAUCUCAUCUAACGAGCAUCCGACUUUACAGACUCCUCUUCCUCUUUUCUUAAGCUUCAACCAUUGGAAUCUCUUUAACUCGAUCUUUUUUCAACGGAAUCGACUAACCUCACGAUUAUAUUCCUUACUCUACCCCAAUUUUUUUCAAGCUCGUUUUAACUACGAUCGUAAAUAGGCCGUUAAAGGGCAUAAAACCUAUUCCGCAAAAGGCUUGUUUGUCAUCGUUACAUUCUAUCGAAUCGUAUACUUAAAUAUCGUAUGCGAAUAAUAUACGUCUAUAUUGAUCAUCCGCAAACAGUAUAUCUUACAACACUUUUCAACAAUAACAAAUUGUUGAAUGAUUUAUAAUAAUAGAUAUAUAAGAAAGAUAAACAUAAUUAAUCAACUAAAUUAAAAUACAUUUAAUAUUAUUAAUAUCUGAUAGGACGUAACGGUCAUAUGAUAUAAUUGAUUCUAGUAUCAUGAGAAAAAUGGAUUAUUCGGGAUAAUGAUCAAGAAGAAGAAAAAAAUACAGAGAAAGAGAGGGAGAAAGAGACAAACAGAGAAAGAAACAGAAAGAGAGAAAGAGAGAGAGAGAGAGAAAGAGAGAAAAAAAAUGAAAGAUAAAAGAAAAUAAUAUCGGACGGCAGUUUUCAGGUCAACGCGAGAUCGGUGGAGCGUUUAAAAUCGGCGAAACGAUUUCCAGGUGUAGUCGAGAGGUCUACGUUGAAUUCUCCACGGCAUGGCAAGGCAAGGCAAGGCAAGGCAAAGCAAGGCAAGGCAAGGCAAGGCAAAGCAAGGUAAGACAAGGCAAGGCAAGGCAAGGCAAGGCAAGUCAAAGCAAGGUAAGGUAAGGCGGUUGCCGAUUAUAAUUCGCAGCUAGUGUAACCACAGCCUGUAAACUAGUCGGGAGAUGAGAGGCGAUGCUUGCUCGUAAUUCUCUUUCUCUCUUAAAAGAGAAAAAAAAAGAAAAGAAAAGAAAAAAAGAAAGAGAGAGAGAGAGAGAGAGAGAGAGAGAGAGAAGGCACGUCACAAGUUAACGGUUUUAAAGUCUUCGAGUGGCGAGUGCCGCUCUCUCGCUCGACUCGUUCGACUCGCUUUCAUAAAAUCAGUCGACUGUGAACGGAGGAAUGCGACGGAAUGCUGAAAUUAUUCCAACGACGAGCGCCGCCGUCGUCGAACGAAACGAAACGAACCGAAGAAGAGAGAGAGAGAGAGAGAGAGAAUUUUUCUCUCGCUGAGGAAUCGCUCAACGACCGCUCGAACAUCGCGGGAGUGCGCUCGGUCGCACUUUUUAAUCGACAAAAAGCCCAAGAACGUCGUCGUCGUCUUCGUUUUCGUCUUCGUCUUCGUUUUCGCCUUCUCCUUAGUCUUCGUCUUCGACGGACAAAUCAACCAAAUCAAACCAAACCAAAUCAAACUAAACCAGACCAAGCUAACGAAUGAUGUCCGUUGAAUUUUCACCGAGAAGAUGUAUACGCGUGGUUAGUCUGAGAUAAAGUAACAAAAAAAAAGAAAAAAAGAAAAAAAGAAAAUGAAAGAGAAAGAAAUCUAAUACCAAUUUCACACCGAGAUCUCAUCUCUCAGUUGCAAUCAAAAUCGAUAUUAUCGAUCGAGCGGAAUUAUCAAUCCUUUCUUUUUCCCUUUUUCUUUCUUUCUUUCCUUUUUUUUUUUUGCGGUGGUGACUUCGUAUAUGAUCAUUAUUGAUUUUA
Molecule: long non-coding RNA, 7097 nt
Organism: Vespa velutina
Lineage: Eukaryota; Metazoa; Arthropoda; Insecta; Hymenoptera; Vespidae
Exons: 3
Source: RefSeq, a predicted model, not a curated record